RNAcentral lists this non-coding RNA (196 nucleotides) under bovine gut metagenome. The record is from RNAcentral.
UUGGGGUGCUCUUUGCACCUGACAAGCCAAGAGGGAAAGAGGUGUGAAUCCUCUGCAGACCCGCUGCUGUGAGUUCCGUAACAUGCUAUCAGUCAUGCUUUAUGCCACUGGCGAGGAGAAGCAUUUGCAAUGCUUGAAAAACCAACCUGGGAAGGCGACUGAUAGGGAACAAGCCAGAAGACCUGCCGUAUGUGGA